This 253-nucleotide ribosomal RNA is filed under the name uncultured bacterium. RNAcentral's name for it is "partial 16S ribosomal RNA". It matches the Rfam family "Bacterial small subunit ribosomal RNA", at positions 524 to 776 of the family's 1533-position model. The record is from RNAcentral.
UACAGAGGUCCCAAGCGUUGUUCGGAUUCACUGGGCGUAAAGGGUGCGUAGGUGGUCGGGUAAGUCUGAUGUGAAAUCCCCCGGCUUAACCUGGGAACUGCGUCUGAUACUGGCAAGCUCGAGUGCGGGAGAGGGAUGUGGAAUUCCAGGUGUAGCGGUGAAAUGCGUAGAUAUCUGGAGGAACACCGGUGGCGAAGGCGGCAUCCUGGACCGACACUGACGCUGAGGCGCGAAAGCUAGGGGAGCGAACAGG